This 385-nucleotide ribosomal RNA is filed under the name uncultured bacterium. RNAcentral's name for it is "bacterial SSU rRNA". It matches the Rfam family "Bacterial small subunit ribosomal RNA", at positions 29 to 417 of the family's 1533-position model. The record is from RNAcentral.
AUUGAACGCUGGCGGAAUGCUUUACACAUGCAAGUCGAACGGCAGCACGGGGCAACCUGGUGGCGAGUGGCGAACGGGUGAGUAAUACAUCGGAACGUGCCCAAUCGUGGGGGAUAACGUAGCGAAAGUUACGCUAAUACCGCAUACGAUCUACGGAUGAAAGCGGGGGAUCGCAAGACCUCGCGCGAUUGGAGCGGCCGAUGGCAGAUUAGGUAGUUGGUGGGGUAAAGGCCUACCAAGCCUGCGAUCUGUAGCUGGUCUGAGAGGACGACCAGCCACACUGGGACUGAGACACGGCCCAGACUCCUACGGGAGGCAGCAGUGGGGAAUUUUGGACAAUGGGCGCAAGCCUGAUCCAGCCAUACCGCGUGCGGGAAGAAGGCCU